RNAcentral lists this ribosomal RNA (585 nucleotides) under Saccharomyces cerevisiae (brewer's yeast). RNAcentral describes it as "eukaryotic LSU rRNA". It matches the Rfam family "Eukaryotic large subunit ribosomal RNA", at positions 74 to 664 of the family's 3401-position model. Lineage: Eukaryota; Fungi; Ascomycota; Saccharomycetes; Saccharomycetales; Saccharomycetaceae. The record is from RNAcentral.
AUUGCCUUAGUAACGGCGAGUGAAGCGGCAAAAGCUCAAAUUUGAAAUCUGGUACCUUCGGUGCCCGAGUUGUAAUUUGGAGAGGGCAACUUUGGGGCCGUUCCUUGUCUAUGUUCCUUGGAACAGGACGUCAUAGAGGGUGAGAAUCCCGUGUGGCGAGGAGUGCGGUUCUUUGUAAAGUGCCUUCGAAGAGUCGAGUUGUUUGGGAAUGCAGCUCUAAGUGGGUGGUAAAUUCCAUCUAAAGCUAAAUAUUGGCGAGAGACCGAUAGCGAACAAGUACAGUGAUGGAAAGAUGAAAAGAACUUUGAAAAGAGAGUGAAAAAGUACGUGAAAUUGUUGAAAGGGAAGGGCAUUUGAUCAGACAUGGUGUUUUGUGCCCUCUGCUCCUUGUGGGUAGGGGAAUCUCGCAUUUCACUGGGCCAGCAUCAGUUUUGGUGGCAGGAUAAAUCCAUAGGAAUGUAGCUUGCCUCGGUAAGUAUUAUAGCCUGUGGGAAUACUGCCAGCUGGGACUGAGGACUGCGACGUAAGUCAAGGAUGCUGGCAUAAUGGUUAUAUGCCGCCCGUCUUGAAACACGGACCUCCUGU